UACCGCAUGAUAUAUCGGAAUCACAUGAUUUUGAUAUCAAAGAUUUUAUCGCUUGAAGAUGGACUCGCGUCCGAUUAGUUAGUUGGUGAGGUAACGGCUCACCAAGACUGCGAUCGGUAGCCGGACUGAGAGGUUGAACGGCCACAUUGGGACUGAGACACGGCCCAGACUCCUACGGGAGGCAGCAGUGGGGGAUAUUGCGCAAUGGGGGCAACCCUGACGCAGCAACGCCGCGUGAAGGAUGAAGGUUUUCGGAUUGUAAACUUCUUUUAUUAAGGAUUUUUUAUUGGCGGUACUUAAUGAAUAAGCUCCGGCUAACUACGUGCCAGCAGCCGCGGUAAUACGUAGGGAGCAAGCGUUGUCCGGAUUUAUUGGGUUUAAAGGGUGCGUAGGUGGUGAUUUAAGUCAGCGGUGAAAGUUUGUGGCUCAACCAUAAAAUUGCCGUUGAAACUGGGUUACUUGAGU
RNAcentral lists this ribosomal RNA (465 nucleotides) under uncultured bacterium. RNAcentral describes it as "bacterial SSU rRNA". It matches the Rfam family "Bacterial small subunit ribosomal RNA", at positions 167 to 647 of the family's 1533-position model. The record is from RNAcentral.